GGAAUAUAUUCUUAAUUAUCAUUUUUAUUAAUAAGUAGCUAAUGGCUUAAUUAAUUUAAUGCAGGGAUGUGGAGCUAUAGCACACAGAGUUUUAUCUAAUUCCACAUUCUCAAACUUGGUUGGUCCACUGGAAGAAGUUAGUUUUUAUGGCCACCCAGUUGCUUACAUUGCUCCUAAUGUUUAUGGCUACCCUCAUGGAGGUUUCCUUGCCUCCAAAUCUUCCAACUAAAUCCAAUCAAUUUGAAGACAGUGGUCCUAAUUUGACCAUAUGGUAAACACAAUUGGGAUUCGAACACAUGAUUUCUGGUGUCUGUUUAUUGGGUUCUCUUUUUCUUUUUCUUUUUUUGUUGUUGCAGGCAUUGCAUAUGCAUUUUCGAAGCUAUGUUGACAAAAUGACUAUUUGCUUAGGCGUUGACCCCAGAUGCAAUACCUGAUCCUUAUAAAUUGUUGGAUGAUUUUGAAGAAUCACUCAAACUCAUCCGUGAUGCUGUUGUUGUAGAAAAAGGGCUCACCAUGGAAGCUGCUGUCUAGCUCCACGUAAGGAUACCAUCCUCAAAGGUAAUGUAUG
RNAcentral lists this long non-coding RNA (568 nucleotides) under Prunus dulcis (almond). Its description in RNAcentral is "sRNA ncRNA". The record is from RNAcentral. Lineage: Eukaryota; Viridiplantae; Streptophyta; Magnoliopsida; Rosales; Rosaceae.